Molecule: unclassified non-coding RNA, 75 nt
Filed under: Pseudomonas umsongensis
Lineage: Bacteria; Pseudomonadati; Pseudomonadota; Gammaproteobacteria; Pseudomonadales; Pseudomonadaceae
Source: RNAcentral
AAAGAUCGCAGCCUGCGGCAGCUCCUACAGGGGAAUGAUGUACAUCUGUAGGAGCUGCCGCAGGCUGCGAUCUUU